CUACGGGCUGCACCAGUGGGGAAUAUUGCACAAUGGAGGAAACUCUGAUGCAGCAACGCCGCGUGGAGGAUGACACUUUUCGGAGCGCAAACUCCUUUUAUAUAGGAAGAAGAUGACGGUACUAUAUGAAUAAGCGCCGGCUAACUCCGUGCCAGCAGCCGCGGUAAUACGGAGGGCGCAAGCGUUACUAGGAAUCACUGGGCGUAAAGAGCGUGUAGGCGGAUUAAAAAGUCAGAAGUGAAAUCCUAUAGCUUAACUAUAGAACUGCUUCUGAAACUCUUAUUCUAGAAUAUGGGAGAGGUAGAUGGAAUUUCUGGUGUAGGGGUAAAAUCCGUAGAGAUCAGAAGGAAUACCGAUUGCGAAGGCGAUCUACUAGAACAUUAUUGACGCUGAGACGCGAAAGCGUGGGGAGCAAACAGGAUUAGAUACCCUAGUAGUC
RNAcentral lists this ribosomal RNA (439 nucleotides) under uncultured bacterium. RNAcentral describes it as "partial 16S ribosomal RNA". It matches the Rfam family "Bacterial small subunit ribosomal RNA", at positions 339 to 795 of the family's 1533-position model. The record is from RNAcentral.